UGUGCCUACGGGACGCAGCAGUAGGGAAUAUUGCUCAAUGGGGGAAACCCUGAAGCAGCAACGCCGCGUGAAGGAUGAAGGUUUUAGGAUUGUAAACUCCUUUUGUGAGAGAAGAUAAUGACGGUAUCUCACGAAUAAGCACCGGCUAACUCCGUGCCAGCAGCCGCGGUAAUACGGAGGGUGCAAGCGUUACUCGGAAUCACUGGGCGUAAAGAGCGCGUAGGCGGGAUAGCAAGUCAGAUGUGAAAUCCUAUGGCUUAACCAUAGAACUGCAUUUGAAACUGCUAUUCUAGAGUAUGGGAGAG
Molecule: ribosomal RNA, 305 nt
Filed under: uncultured bacterium
Lineage: Bacteria
Description: bacterial SSU rRNA
Rfam family: Bacterial small subunit ribosomal RNA
Source: RNAcentral